This is a long non-coding RNA of Astyanax mexicanus (Mexican tetra), 400 nucleotides long. RefSeq lists it as uncharacterized. The record is from RefSeq and is a predicted model, not a curated record. The transcript is spliced from 3 exons. Lineage: Eukaryota; Metazoa; Chordata; Actinopteri; Characiformes; Acestrorhamphidae.
CAGUGGCUGGUCUCCUCUCGAAUAACAUGUCUGUGUGUGCUUGAUGGAGCUCUGCAGUUCAUGUCAAGUCUGUUUUAACGAGGUAACCCAACUUCAUGUGGACCAGAGCGCACCACUGAAAGUUACAAGUCUGCAGUUGAUCAGUUAGAGGCUGAAAAUGUGCCAGAUGUUCAAGGAAUAAAGUUCAGAUAUGGCAGAAUCAGAAAUACAGAAGAUAAGCAGUGCCAUUACUGCAGUGUUUCCUGAUCUUCCUGAAGCAGUUCUGAAUUCAGUUAUAGACACAUUGAAGGCACUUGGUGCAGAGACCACAGAUGAUCUGAAGUACAUUACAGAAGGAGACUUGCUGCCAGCACUGAAGCCAAUACAAGCCAGAAGACUUGUUGUUUCCUGGGCACAGAAC